This is an RNA transcript of Folsomia candida, 2553 nucleotides long. It is a transcript of the gene named zinc finger protein 726, with no coding region annotated. The transcript has 3 exons. Lineage: Eukaryota; Metazoa; Arthropoda; Collembola; Entomobryomorpha; Isotomidae. The record is from RefSeq and is a predicted model, not a curated record.
CAUCAUCCCUGUCUAGAUUUUCUUGGUUAAUUCUCCACACAGAAAUUAUUUGUUCUGCAUUUUAUUGGGACGAACUACGUACAAGAUUCAGUCAGAGACUUAACGUUUGGUGGGAUACACAGAUAAGGGAAGCUUUCCGAGGGCGACAAAGACAAAUAAGCUCCUCGUCAAACAAGUGUUCACUUUAUCCUAAAGAAAUUUCACCAGUUUUAAACAUUUCUAAAUUUCCACAAAGUUUACAUUGAGAAAAAAGAACAGAACGACACAAAGUAAGGGAAGCUGGACUACUAUUGGAAAUUGUGGAGCAGUCUGAAAAGUAGGAUUGGACUAGGGAAAGAUUUUUUUACUCGAGAACCGACUUCAUCCCGAACACACAAGUUACGCCAAACUUUUGAGAACGAGCCGUUGAGAAAGGGGUCGAUGGAUUCAAGCGGGGGAAGGUCCGAGCAGAACGACGCGUUGCCGUUGGACGGGAUGGAGGUCACCGAUACACACCGGACGUUGCUCGGAGGACAGAAAGCGCUCAUCCCCACAACGGAGAAAGGGGACCGUUUUCAAGAGAAGGGACGAUUUCCUCCUCAGUCCGUCCAAUCACGGCCAACAGCACGUGACGAUAACCACAUGCAGUCCCCUUCAGCAAUCAGCAGGUCGUUAAAAGCCAAGAAAUCAGCCUCAGUGACCAGAAAUGGCGUGAAGCCUGGUCGUCACGUGGUGGAGAAAGUCUUCCUAUGCAAAAUAUGCCUGCGCCCAUUCGUCAACAGAACCAGUGCUCGCCUCCACGCCCACACCCACCUCAACUCCGAAGAGCUGGAACGGUCUUCACUUUUCCACGCGAAGUGCCCCCACUGCGAUAAAGUAUUCUUCAUUCAUCAAGGCUUUACCGACCAUCUUUUCGUGCACAUGAGUCGCCAGGAGCGCGCGGAGGUGCGGCAGGGAUGGCGAUACGGCUGCUACUUCUGCACCAAACCAUUCGAAUUUGUAUCCCAUCUCAAUCGUCAUCUUGUCGCCCACACCAAGGAAAAGUUGGGCGGGAGAUGUAACGUUUGUCGAAAAACGUUCUCCUCCAAGCAAGUCCUGACCAGGCAUCGUUUCGUCCACCUCUCCGAAGCCGAGAAGGUCGCCCUCGUGAAGCAGGGUUCGGGUCGAGUGUGCCUAUUUUGUCAGAAGAAACUCCCCGAUAACGCCACUUAUCAUAAGCACCUGGUCUCCCACACGAAGGAGAAACCCUUCCGCUGCGACCAAUGUGGGGCGCUGUUCGGUCGUAAUGGUGACUUAAACUUGCACAAGCUUCAUCACACUUCCAACCCAAAACCCUUUAUUUGCGACGAAUGCGACAAAGCGUUCACUCAAAAACAAGGUCUGACAAGACACAAGAAGACGAUUCACUGGAAACUGAAGGACUUCACGUGUCCCGACUGCGGCAAGAAGUUCGGGAGGAAGAGUGACAUGGUGACACAUGUGAAGGGGGUCCAUGCCAAAAUCCGCCACCCCUGCCCCCACUGCGGGAAGACGUUCACGCAGAAAUGCAAUCUUGGGACGCAUUUAAAAAAGGCUCAUCCCUCAGAAGCUCGUCAUCUUCCUGCCAAACCAAUUAAUUGACCACGUGUUUUACAUAGUUGUAUUAUUUCCUGAUUUCACCGUUUAUGAUAAGGACUCAAUAAUACCCUCGUGAACUUUGACCUCCUCCUCGGCCCCGUCCUCCACUACCUCCUCCCCCCCUCGUAAAUACCAUCGGGCCAAUAGACGGGUCGUUGGAGGAAGAGUUUCUGUACUGGUUGUGGGAGGAGGAGGACCCCCAUUGUCCCCCACCACCACCACUACUACGACGACGACGACGACGACGACGACGACGACGACGACGACAACAACUAUUCCUCCCACGACUAGAGCAACGUUACCACCACGGACGACAUCACCAUAUCCGUAUCCGUGAGGCAAGGUGAGAAGAUGACUGCGAGAUGUGAGAACAGAGAGCGAAGAAUGUAGAAAGUACAGGCAAUUUUUCAUGCACCCUGUCUCAGUCUGCCUCGUGGACUGGCCACUGGAGAAGAGAAUGUCACAUUGUGAUGUUCAUGCACAUUUGUCUCAAUUUGCCUCGCGAUACUCAGGAGAUGAGAACAUACUAGGAUAUUUACAAGUCAGAUUUUCAUGCCUUUAGAUAUCUUUGGGGACUUGGUAAGUGUAGGAAAAUCAAAGGAGGGUUACUAUCCAAGGCAAACCAUACCCAUUUAAAAAGUGCUCCUACCUACGCUAAACUAGUCGUAUUAAAAAAUCCACCAAAUAUCCAAUUUUGCCUGGAUUUUUUAUAAUUUUUCAUUUUCCUAUAUACCAUUGGGAGAUCGUGUCUUUUGGAAAUUUCAUACUAAUUAAAUUUUUGAUUGUUAUCAAAAUAUGAGAGGUGGGAGACUUCCAUUCUUAGGGACGCUUAUAAAAUUAGGAUUUUAUUUUUUUAAAAACACUUUUUUAUUUUAUUUACUACGAUGAGAGGAUAUAUUCUGAAAAAAAGUGUAAUUAUAAUUUAAAAAAGUAUUAAAUUAUGUAUGAUCAGUUAAA